This 162-nucleotide small RNA is filed under the name Arabidopsis thaliana (thale cress). Its description in RNAcentral is "ATSL159840". The record is from RNAcentral. Lineage: Eukaryota; Viridiplantae; Streptophyta; Magnoliopsida; Brassicales; Brassicaceae.
UUGGAGGAUGAUAUAAGAAUGGGAGCUGACAUUGUAGCUGAUGGACUCACUGACAGACCACCUGAUAGACUUGCUGAUGAACCGGCUGAAGGACUUUCUGACAGACUUCCUGAAGGACUUUCUGAAGAACCCGCUGACGAACUAGUUGACAAACUUAACCUU